RNAcentral lists this non-coding RNA (28 nucleotides) under Bombyx mori (domestic silkworm). Lineage: Eukaryota; Metazoa; Arthropoda; Insecta; Lepidoptera; Bombycidae. The record is from RNAcentral.
ACCCGAUCGAUCACGCUUUACCGCUAGC